GGCUGGUCCAGGGGCCGCCCCAGCCCGGAAGGCGCUGGCCUGGGCCUCAACCUCCUCCCCUGGAUCUGCCCGGAGAGAGUUAACUCAGAGAUCGUGGCUUUUGAUGCGUCCCUGGCGGCCCACCGUGGAAGCCGUGGAAGGAGUGGCAGAAGGACUCUGAAAUUGACCAAAGGCUGAUAACUUUAGUAUUAAAUGAAGAAGUAUUAGGAAGAAGACGCAGGGUCUCCAAAACGAUCUUAUUGUACUUCCCUAACAAACACACCAAAAAGCCUUUUUAAGCCUUCAGCUGGGAGAGGCUCUGAGAUGAAUCCUGGGAACUGAUUGAAAAGUAGUAGUUGGUACUGAGGCUUUUAUUUUAAAGAAGAAAGAUAGGAAGCCUUACCUUGCUGGCUGUGUUUAUAAAAUCGAGGGCUGCCCCCCCCCCCCCCCCCCCGCAAUAUUUAGAAACACCUGGGGCUGGAAGCCUCUGAUAGCUUUCCUAAACUGAAGCAGCUGCUUACCCUGUUCUCCUCACUCUGACAGUCGUUGAAAAAUGUUUUUCAGAGGUGGAGGCGUUUGAAAAUUUAGAAGUCAAGGUGGGAGUAAAACCUUUUCUAGAAUAGCAAUUGGAAAAUCACAGAUAUGUCUCUAAAGAAGUUUUAUGGCCAACCAGCAUAUGGCUUUGAUGUUCACUCAACCAGAGACAGCUUCCAGUAUCUCUCCAGCUUGGGGAAGGAGCCAAUCCUGAUGAUUGCCAUCGUGCGGGAUAUUGUCCCAUACAUACAUAGUAAUUACCAUGGGUUUUUAUGGGUUCCACUGACAUAAGAAAUAAAAUUGUGGUUCUAAAAACCAUAUGAGAAUGAUUUAAAAUUAGAAAUCGUCCCAGCUUGGGACCUUCGGUUCUCCAACUUGAGAGUUAAGGGUUUGUUAAAACAGAUUACUAGGCCCAAACCCAGUGGUGUUCUAAUUCCGUAGAUCUGGGGUGAAGCCAGAUAAUUUGCAUUUCAAACAAGUUGCUGUGGGUCUAAGAGCACCGUGGUUUGGAUCCAGUGCUUGCUUCUCAAACUUAAAAGUCCUUAUGAAUCAUCUAGGAUCUUGUAAAAGUGGCGGUUCUGAUUAAGUAUAUGUGAGGUGGGGCCUGAGUUUCAGAAUUUCAAAUAAGUUCCCAGGUGAUGUGAAUGCCCUGAGGGGACCACACUUUGGUUAGCAAGGGUUAAGAUUAGAAUUCGGAAGUUCCCACAUUUGCUUUGCAUCUGACUCAGCAGAUGUUCCGGAGUGAAUGUUUGUGUCCCCCCAAACUUUGUACGUUUAAAUCCUAACUCCCGGUGUGAUGCUGUUAGAAGGUGGGCCUUCCAGAGGUGCUUGUCAUGAAGGUGGAGCUCUCGUGAAUGGGCUUAGUGCCCUUAGACAAGAGAUUUCAGAAACGUCCCUCACGCCUUCCGCCAUGUGAGGACACAGCAAGAAGACAGCGGCCUAUGAACCAGAAUGGCCUGCUUGGAAAGCCACGCUGGGACGCUCUCUCGCACGUUCAUUACGCCUUCUGUACUUGGUGUUUCCUUUGUUUCUCAAAUAAACCACUUACACUUGAAAUGUUGUCUUCAGAUCAACUUCUGAAGGAAUUCAAACUAAGACAUGUGACAUGCACAAUUCAACUAUGAGCUAAAAAAUAUAUGUGUGCAAAUGUAGUUGAUAGAAAAUGCAGUACUUCAAAAGGAUCUUGAUUUUUCCUG
Molecule: long non-coding RNA, 1709 nt
Organism: Equus asinus (donkey)
Lineage: Eukaryota; Metazoa; Chordata; Mammalia; Perissodactyla; Equidae
Source: Ensembl